GACGAACGCUGGCGGCGUGCUUAACACAUGCAAGUCGAACGAUGAAGCGCUGUCUUUUUGGUGGUGUGGAUUAGUGGCGAACGGGUGAGUAAUACGCGGGCAACCUGCCCCUCUGCUUCGGGAUAAGCUUUGGAGACGGGGUCUAAUACCGGAUGUGCCUGUCUGGUCGCAUGGCUGGGCGGGGAAAAAUGUUUUUCGGCGGGGGAUGGGCUCGCGGCCUAUCAGCUUGUUGGUGGGGUGCGGCCUCGUAUUACCGCGGCUGCUGGCGGCCUGAGACCGUGUCUUUCUGGCUGGUACUGACAGGGGAUGAGACUCCCUCUCAGGCUUGUUCUUCUUUAAUUGAGAGUUUUACGAUCCCUGACCUUCUUCACUCACGUGCCGUUGCUCCGUCAGACUUUCGUCCAUUGCGGAAGAUUCCCUACUGCUGCCUCCCGUAGGAGUCUGGGGCGUGUCUCAGUCCCAGUGUGGCCGAUCACCCUCUCAGGUCGGCUACGUAUCAUUGCCUUGGUGAGCCGUUACCUCACCAACUAGCUAAUACGCCGCGGGUCCAUCCAUUGGUGGUAGCCGGAGCCACCUUUCCUUCAUAAUCACGCGAUCCCUGACACUUGAGGUAUUAUCCUCCGUUUCGACUGUACUCCCUGCUCUAAUGU
RNAcentral lists this ribosomal RNA (650 nucleotides) under uncultured Prevotella sp. RNAcentral's name for it is "partial 16S ribosomal RNA". It matches the Rfam family "Bacterial small subunit ribosomal RNA", at positions 28 to 344 of the family's 1533-position model. The record is from RNAcentral. Lineage: Bacteria; Pseudomonadati; Bacteroidota; Bacteroidia; Bacteroidales; Prevotellaceae.